Molecule: ribosomal RNA, 854 nt
Filed under: Hoferellus cyprini
Lineage: Eukaryota; Metazoa; Cnidaria; Myxozoa; Bivalvulida; Myxobilatidae
Description: bacterial SSU rRNA
Rfam family: Eukaryotic small subunit ribosomal RNA
Source: RNAcentral
UAGCAUUUAUUAGAUUAAAUACCAACUAUAAUUAAUAAUAUAACGUAUGUGUGUUAUAAUGUGUAUGUUGUAUGAUAAAAAUGUUAAUUAUAAGAUGAAUCUAGAUAACUUUGCUGAUCGUAUGGCCUUGAGCUGACGACGUUUCAAUUGAAUUUCUGCCCUAUCAACUUGUAGGUAAGGUAGAGGCUUACCUAGGUUGUAACGGGUAACGGGGAAUCAGGGUUCGAUUCCGGAGAGGGAGCCUGAGAAAUGGCUACCACAUCCAAGGGAGGCAGCAGGCGCGCAAAUUACCCAAUCCAGACAGUGGGAGGUGGUUAUGAGAAAUACCAGAUAAUAUUCUUUUUGAUUAUUAUACUGGAAUGAACGUAAUUUAAGCAAUUCGUUGAGUAACAACUGGAGGGCAAGUCUGGUGCCAGCAGCCGCGGUAAUUCCAGCUCCAGUAGUCUGAUUCAGAGUUGCUGCGUUUAAAACGCUCGUAGUUGGAUGACUAAGUAUAAGACAGUCGAUUAAUAUAUUUGCACAAUAAAUUUAAUAUAUAAUAUGGAUAAUAAUAUGAUAUGUAAUACAUUGGUUAAACCUUUAUGUUAUAUAUUUGUUAUAUACUGUAUAUAAUGUUAAAGUGUAAAUUAUAAUAUUAAUUGAUAGCUGUAUUAAUUCUUAUACUAAUUAUAUAUAAGGAUGGUAGAUUGACCUUUAGUGUGUUGAUUACUAUAUCUUAUAAAGUGUGCCUUGAAAAAAUCAAAGUGCUCAAAGCAGGCUGUAUAUGCUUGUAUGUUAAUAGCAUGGAACGAACAAUUGUGAUAAAUAAUAUAACUUGUAUGUUAAUUUGUACAUUUUAUAUCAAACACCAACCC